GACGAACGCUGGCGGCGUGCCUAAUACAUGCGAGUCGAACGCUGAAGGAGGAGCUUGCUUCUCUGGAUGAGUUGCGAACGGGUGAGUAACGCGUAGGUAACCUGCCUGGUAGCGGGGGAUAACUAUUGGAAACGAUAGCUAAUACCGCAUAAGAGUAGAUGUUGCAUGACAUUUGCUUAAAAGGUGCAAUUGCAUCACUACCAGAUGGACCUGCGUUGUAUUAGCUAGUUGGUGGGGUAACGGCUCACCAAGGCGACGAUACAUAGCCGACCUGAGAGGGUGAUCGGCCACACUGGGACUGAGACACGGCCCAGACUCCUACGGGAGGCAGCAGUAGGGAAUCUUCGGCAAUGGACGGAAGUCUGACCGAGCAACGCCGCGUGAGUGAAGAAGGUUUUCGGAUCGUAAAGCUCUGUUGUAAGAGAAGAACGAGUGUGAGAGUGGAAAGUUCACACUGUGACGGUAGCUUACCAGAAAGGGACGGCUAACUACGUG
RNAcentral lists this ribosomal RNA (495 nucleotides) under uncultured bacterium. RNAcentral describes it as "partial 16S ribosomal RNA". It matches the Rfam family "Bacterial small subunit ribosomal RNA", at positions 28 to 507 of the family's 1533-position model. The record is from RNAcentral.